CAGAAAGUGAAUUUGAAAAUAUUUUGAAUUUACGUAAAAGAAAACGUACUUGGAUGCUUUCAAGUUCUGAGAAUGAAAAUGAAAAUAUUCUACAAGACCAUCAAAAUGAAAUUGCCGCAGAUGGAACCAAUUGGGAAAAAAUAUGAAAAGGGUCUAUCAUUAGAAUAUUAUCACUUCAUAAUAUUUUCAAACAUAUCCGGUCCAAAAAAAAAUUAUGAAAAAGAAUAUGCCAAAAAAAAAAGAUUAUGAAAGAAAAUAGAAACUGAACUUCUUUUCCAACACCAUGAGUAGAAAUGAUUUUACCGAAAUAUUGAAAUUUAUUCACUUUGAUUAAAAAAGUGAUGGAAGUCAGCAUUUACAAAGUGACAAAUUUGCUUUCAUAUCAACGAAAAGUAAUAUCACAAUUUCUAAGUGAAUUUGUCUACUCAAACUUAUUGAAUCAUAUACUACGAAAGGAGAAACUAUAACAAAUGACAACAUUUUUAUAAGCUUACCGCUGGCAUUUAAAUUACUAUCAAAGAGAACCACAUUGGUUGGUACUAUAUACGGAAACAAA
Vespula vulgaris is the source of this 556-nucleotide long non-coding RNA. RefSeq lists it as uncharacterized. The record is from RefSeq and is a predicted model, not a curated record. NCBI's taxonomy places the organism in Eukaryota, Metazoa, Arthropoda, Insecta, Hymenoptera, Vespidae. The transcript is spliced from 3 exons.